UCUUUCGGCAUUGGGCGCAAAACCAAUAAAGUUCUUCGUGCAAUUUUCAGAAUGAUCUUAAACUGCUGACAAACUGCAAAAAUUGUUGCCCUUGCAAUAGUUAGAUUUGUGCUGUAGCACGAUUGCUCUUAUUACCAACGCUUAUUCAGUAUCAAAAUCUGAUUGUCUUGAUUUUUUCAAACCUGACAUGUUCUCUCAAAAGCACGAUUAUUUUUCGGUGGAGACCGAAGGUCCGGAUGGGCUCUUCUGUGAAGGAACGGUCAUCGAUGUUGACGACUUUGGUGUUCUACUAAUUGACCAGCACAUUCCCAAUACUCCACCCGUUUGGACACCCUACUGGCAAGCGUUCCAGCGUCAUAAUUAUGCAGAGGAGUUGUGGGCACUUCUCUCCCAUAAGCAGCUUUCUCUACCAACAAGCGUACUCGUCAAAACACAGCUGAGCAACGAUAGGCCCUGGGUAUGGCUUCCGGGUGAACUUCUGGCGUUUUACUUUAUUGCUGUUGUGAAGAUCGAUGUCUUUGGGGAGAAAAUUCAUGUUGUACCUUAUGAUCACGUUUGUUUGGCCAGCCAGAUGCGUAACCUAGUUAUGCCGAAUUUCCAUUAUAUCAAAAUGUGCUUUGAUCUUCCGCAGUUGUUUUCCUUCUGUACUACUGAAGAGUUCAUAGCAUUGUGGAAUAGACAUUUUCCCAUGGAUUCCUUCAAGAAAGGGAAAGCAGUUGCUUUUGUUGAUAACAGGGUGGUGUGUUUGGGAAAUAACGACUGGAUCAGAAACAUCAAAGAAAUAUUAUGGACUAGCGUAAGCCCUGUAAUCUCCGCGCAGCCGCGUCGGUCCUUAAAAAGCGUCAAUAACUAAUACUGUGACCUUUAGGAACAAUGUCAGUGAGACAGUAACUUGGCGUACACUCUUACAGUACUUGUUUCGAAAUAAACUUGGGAGUUAGAAGUGCAGUAAUGAUGUUUUUACAAUUAGGAUGACGGUCCGGAUCGAUUAAUUGAAAGCCUGAUGUGUACAUACCAACGAAAUAAAGAGCCCACACCACCAGCAUCUCCAGGUGUCCUGCUUGAAAGAAAUCCCGCGUUUUUGGAUGUGAAGGCCGAACCCAACUUUAUGAGGACCCACCACCUUACAACGUUAUAAAUACCUUGCCGGAUGCCCUGCUGGCCAGAAUCUUCGCGUUUUUUGACUUGCAGGAAUAGUCUCGAAUUCGUAAUGUGUGUCAGUUGUGGAGCAAACUGCUGCCACUUAAUAUGACCCUCAAACCGCAAUCCAUAUGGCUUCGCAUUAAUCAGCCGUCGGACGGAAAUCUUCAGUACAUUUUCGAGCUCGCAUCUUGUCUGAAUGAGCAUUAUACAGAUCGUGUUAAUACCAUUAUACUGUCUGGAGAUCUUUUGGACGGCGGUUUUCAUCGGAUAGCAGCAGCAUUGACAACUAUGCAGGCGGCCUUAAAGGACGACCCCCUCUGGCGCAACUGCAAGUGUCCGAUGUUGCGUUCCCUUAUUUCAGUAGAACUCGUCGAUUCCUUGCGAAUGGAUUUCACAAGUGUUUUGUGUCAGCAAACAAGCCAUGCAGGAAGCUCGUCUUCGACAAUGUAAUCAUGCCGCUGUUCUCUGAUUGCGAAAAAGAGCGGUUGGGUAAAUGGAGCGUCAGGAUACACGGUGUAGUCGAUGUGUCGGCUGCUGACUACGAGUGUCGGUUAUGGGAUCUGGUGGAAACGGCCAUAAAUGUGGAUGCAGAGCGACAGGAUAUUACAAAAUUGCACCAUUGGGUCCGGGUUGCGUACUUCUAUAGAGAAAACGGUUAUCCAUCCCGUUUCCGCUGCCUAGAAUCGAUAAUUAGGUUUUACCAAAAUAUGGAUCCACGCCCACUCGCUUGCCAUCUAUACCUCCCCGACGAUGCAACUCGUGUGCCUGAUGUACUUGACCAUCUACAUAGUCUCAACAAGCUCACCUUAUUCGCGAUGACGGCGUUGUCGGAAAUUAUGGAAUAAGACCAUAUAUACAAAUUUGAAACUGCCAUUGAUUCGUUUAGUAAUUUCUGGUGACCACGUGCACACGACAUGCCGGCCAAUAGGAUUAUAUGAACUGUCACUGCACUAAUGGAACCAUGCUCGCCGGGAACUUUUGUUUUUGUUUGGGUUUCCUUUUUAAUUUUGCAUUUUCAAUAGACUGUGGCGAAGUAUAAAAGCGGUUACCGUUCACUUCGGCCGUUUUCAUUUCGGCUUUCGGCUUUCAUUUCAUUUCGAUUUUGGCCAAACGUAACUUCGUCCAUGUUAAAUUUCGACUGACACACUUCCCUUAAUCCACUGUAUCAAGCGCUUGUCGGUUUUAAGAGUUUUAUUUUAAACCGUACAAUUACGUUGUCAACACCAUAUUUUAUUGUGCUAAGAAAAGCCGGUUAAAAAUGAUGUCAUGCAGCAUGAUGUCAUCAGUAGUAUGAUUCAGAAUUUGUGUCAAUGAUAUGAGCACUUCAGUAAAGAGCACAUAUGCAGAGGUUCAUUUUUGCUUAGCCUUACACGAUGAAUAAACCUAUCUGUUUUCUUAUCGAUUGGUGCAGUGCGUUUUCAUCGUUUGUCUACGAUUACUCAAGGAUAAUUAAAUUUUGCCGUGUUCGUAUUAAAGCGUUGGCAGUACACCCCAAUCCAUCAAAGCGUAUCUCUUCGACCAACAGAUUACGCUAGGAAGCAACAGGAAGCAAUACUGUGCAUAUCGGUUGGGGGUGGGCAGCAGUGCAGCAAUAAAUCAGCAGACAACGCCGGAAGUCUGGAUGAGCACGCCCGAAGUCUGACGCUCUGAUCCUUCGAGCACUCGUUUGACUGACAGGGAGAUUUUUGACUAAUCACGGAAACAGGAGUGACAACAUGCACCGUUUAUCUUCCGGAAGCAGCCCAGGUGGACGACGAUUGCCAUCAGUACGAUGUGGAAUGUCCUGCGAACAUAUUACCGCAACACUUCAGCACCAUGCCGGUCGACGUUCUGUACGACAUCUUCUCCAUGUUGGAUAUCUUUCAGCAAAUAAAGAUCCGUAAAGUCUGUCGAUUUUACAGCGCUUUUCUUCCACUAUGUGAAACUUUCCGGCACCGAUCGCUGUAUAUUCAUUUAAACGAAGCACGAUUUCCCCGUGAUACUGAGCAUGUGCGGGAGUUCGUACACUGUCUGAAUGACUACUACGGUGACCGAGUGGACACGGUUCUUUUAUCUGGUCAGCUCGAUGACAAUGUACUCACUGCGUUCAGCACCAUGAUAAUGGUUCUUAAGCGGUCACCCAUCAAAAGACUGAUUUUGUCAAAUGUCGACGUUCGUCUACGUGCACCAUCCACAGCGAUACAUGACUGGUUCCCUCAACGCUUCGUGAAGUUCGUGGGACAAAUGCAUUCGGCAUGCAGCAAGCUGAUUUUCCGACGAGUGACCUUUACUUUACUGUCUAAUAAUCAUCACGAGAGCAACGUGGAUAUGGAUAGCAAGGUUUUGCGAAUAGUUGGAGAAGUUGGGGUUUGCGCUCCUGCAGGGUACGAAAAGCGGCUUUUUGAGCUUGCAGAGGAUGCUAUAAAACAGUUCCAUAUGGAGCGUUCGAAGCAACCAAAUGCCGAUGACCAACGGGAAACAGCUGCAGCCGGAUAAUUGCUGUUCAUAAUUUUGCUUUGUUCUGAAGGCUAGCUGUGAUUUAAUGCGCCAAGCGGUGGCGGUGGCAGCAGUAAAUGAAUUAUGCAAUUUUUAAUAUAAUGAUAAUUAUUGUAAUAGCCCCGUCAUUACUCCCAUGUGAACUGUUUGUUGUAACUUCAGCAGAAAGCAGAAAUAAAAAGUUGAUA
Molecule: RNA transcript, 3806 nt
Organism: Paramacrobiotus metropolitanus
Lineage: Eukaryota; Metazoa; Tardigrada; Eutardigrada; Parachela; Macrobiotidae
Exons: 4
Source: RefSeq, a predicted model, not a curated record